RNAcentral lists this long non-coding RNA (430 nucleotides) under Homo sapiens (human). Its description in RNAcentral is "HSALNT0345072". Lineage: Eukaryota; Metazoa; Chordata; Mammalia; Primates; Hominidae. The record is from RNAcentral.
CUGGGUUAGGGCACAAGAGAAAGUUCCGAGCACAGAGAACUGCAUAUGUGAAGGUGUGGCCUCAUGAAACCACAGCACACUGUUAGGAGCUACCAGCCUGUCACAAGUGGGUGUGAAGGUUGCCUAGAGGAGACUACCAGGAGAUAACACUGAAGGGGUGGAUUAGGAAAGCCCUUGUGCACCAUCUUGAACUUUACCUUGAAUGCAAUGGAGAGCUGUGAAAGGGCUUUAAGCAAGGCCCAGGCCUCACUGAAUCUGUGGUUUAGAAAGAACUCUCUGGUUACAAGAUGGAGCAUGGAUGCAAGCGAGUGAAGGUGAGAGAUGAUGCAGUGGGUCCCCAUCAGUGUUGGAUAUGAUUCCUCAGCCUAAAGAACCAACCUCACCUCAUCAUUUUCCAUCAAGCUGCUAUGAUUUGCUUUCUUAAUAGCAC